RNAcentral lists this small RNA (749 nucleotides) under Pongo abelii (Sumatran orangutan). Its description in RNAcentral is "processed transcript". The record is from RNAcentral. Lineage: Eukaryota; Metazoa; Chordata; Mammalia; Primates; Hominidae.
GAGACAGAGCAUGUGGUAUCCAGCCAGUCAGAGUGUCAGGUGAGAGCAGGAACACCAGCUCGUGAGAGUCCACAAAACAAUGCCUUCAAGUGCCAAGAAACAGUGCAACUUCAACCAAGAAUAGACCAGAGGACUGCCAUUUGGCCAAAGGAUGCUUUUGAAACUCGGCAGGACUUAAAUGAGGGGGUGAACUAUAUAGAUUGACCCACAUUCUUUCACGCAGUUUCUGUUGUGGCCAAAAUUUGGGAAACCAGAAAAGACCUUGGGGAAACUUGAAGGAGGUGCAGUAUGAAUGGGACGGAGACCAUCAAGGAGGGUGGAUGUGUUCACACUCAUGGAUUGAAAUGUCCUGUAUCAUUCCCAGCAUUUCUCAACUUAUUGAACACCAAACUUUUUUAUGGAAGAACCACCUAAUAACAUUUCUUUAGGCGACAGAGUCCCUAUGGAACACAAAUGGGAAAUACUGCUAUAAUAUUUUUAAUGGGGAUAGAAAAUAUAUACAGAAAAGUGCACAGGUCAUAGGUAUACAGCUGAAUGAAUUCUUACAAAGUGUGCAACCAGCACAUAAAUCAAGAAACAAAAUAUUACCAGCAUCCCAGAUGCCUCUCUGUAAUUCCUUCCAGUCACUACUCUCCUAUGAAGAUAGCUAGUAUUUUUUAGUGUUUUAUUCAUGGAUUACAUAUGCUCUUUUGUGUCUGGAUUCAUUUGCUCCAUAUUAUAUUCAUGAUUGGUAUAUAGUCAUAGUUUUG